GAUGAACGCUGGCGGCGUGCCUAAUACAUGCAAGUCGAGCGAACAGACGAGGAGCUUGCUCCUCUGACGUUAGCGGCGGACGGGUGAGUAACACGUGGAUAACCUACCUAUAAGACUGGGAUAACUUCGGGAAACCGGAGCUAAUACCGGAUAAUAUAUUGAACCGCAUGGUUCAAUAGUGAAAGACGGUUUUGCUGUCACUUAUAGAUGGAUCGGCGCCGCAUUAGCUAGUUGGUAAGGUAACGGCUUACCAAGGCAACGAUGCCUAGCCGACCUGAGAGGGUGAUCGGCCACACUGGAACUGGGACACGGUCCCGACUCCUACGGGAGGCAGCAGUAGGGAAUCUUCCGCAAUGGGCGAAAGCCUGACGGAGCAACGCCGCGUGAGUGAUGAAGGUCUUCGGAUCGUAAAACUCUGUUAUUAGGGAAGAACAAAUGUGUAAGUAACUAUGCACGUCUUGACGGUACCUAAUCAGAAAGCCACGGCUAACUACGUG
This 497-nucleotide ribosomal RNA is filed under the name uncultured bacterium. Its description in RNAcentral is "partial 16S ribosomal RNA". It matches the Rfam family "Bacterial small subunit ribosomal RNA", at positions 28 to 507 of the family's 1533-position model. The record is from RNAcentral.